UGCUUCAUUUUUGUUGUUGUUGUUUCUGC
RNAcentral lists this non-coding RNA (29 nucleotides) under Mus musculus (house mouse). Lineage: Eukaryota; Metazoa; Chordata; Mammalia; Rodentia; Muridae. The record is from RNAcentral.